UCCCUCUUUGAUUUUAUAUAUAUGAGUUUUGCUAGAAUACUAUCGGUAGUAAAUAAGCCGUUUUACUACCGAUUUGUUUUCGAUGAUAGACCUUCCAAAUUGACGAUCAGCUCCGUUGAACAUGAUCUAUACCACUUGAAGUAUUUAGAAAUCAAAUUUCAAAUCAUUUCGACAUCAUUUGCCUAAUGAUCAAAGGGUUUCAAAAUUUGUAAUUUUAAUGGUCGAUAAGAAGCGUUUUCUCACUUAAUGGCGUAAAGAUAUCCAAAUCAAUUGAAUUUUUGUUAGAAAAUUCUUUAAACUAUUUAAAACAAGAUCUAUACUCCUGAUCUUAAUUACAAGACUCUUAUCAUUAUUUUUUAAAGAGUAUUCAUUUUUAGCCAUUCAUUUUUUUGUUCACUUGAUGGAUAAAAGAACAAUAUCAAAAGUGCGUGAAAUUUGAUAUCUAGAUAAUUUAAAUAGUUUAGAUCAUAUUUAACGGAGCCGAUCGUCAAUUUGGAAGCUUUAUCAUCGAAAACAAACCGAUAGUAAAACGACUCGUUUACUACCGAUAGUAUUCUAGUUCAACUCUCUCUCUCUCUCUCUCUCUCUAUAUAUAUAUAAUUUUAUUUAUAAAUAUAUAAUAAUUUAUUUUAUAUUAUUAAAUAUAUUAUUAUAUAUUAUAUUAUAUAUUUAUUAUAUAAUAUAUUUUAAAAUAUAUAUUUUUUUAUAAAUAUAAAUUAUAAUAAUUAAAUAUAUUAUAAUAAUUAUUAUAUAUUAAUAAUAUAUAAUAUAUAUAAUUACAGAAAAUAUAUAAUAAUUAUAAUAUAUUAAUAAUAUAUAUAACAAAAAAUAUAUUAAAUAAUUUUUCAUCUACUUUUCUUUUUCUUUCAACCAAACAACUGUCAAGGAAAACUACUUUUCUUUUCCUACAAACCAAACACAAAUGACGUAAAAUUUUUUUCCACCGAA
RNAcentral lists this long non-coding RNA (948 nucleotides) under Ananas comosus (pineapple). RNAcentral describes it as "long non-coding RNA (ACOM_LNC020319)". Lineage: Eukaryota; Viridiplantae; Streptophyta; Magnoliopsida; Poales; Bromeliaceae. The record is from RNAcentral.